AGACUAGCAGAAUUUUCUUUUGCAAGGAACAAAAAAAAGUCUAUAUUAGCUCA
This 53-nucleotide transfer RNA is filed under the name Epitrimerus sabinae. RNAcentral's name for it is "tRNA-Ala". The record is from RNAcentral. Lineage: Eukaryota; Metazoa; Arthropoda; Arachnida; Trombidiformes; Eriophyidae.